CCUACGGGAGGCAGCAGUGAGGAAUAUUGGUCAAUGGACGAGAGCCUGAACCAGCGAAGCCGCGUGAAGGAUGACUGCCCUAUGGGUUGUAAACUUCUUCUGCAAGGGAAUAAAACGAGGCACGUGUGCCUUUUUGCAUGUACUUUAUGAAUAAGGAUCGGCUAACUCCGUGCCAGCAGCCGCGGUAAUACGGGGGACCCGAGCGUUAUCCGGAUUUAUUGGGGUUAAAGGGACCGUAGAUGGGUUGUUAAGUCAGUUGUGAAGGUUCGGGGCUAAACCGUGAAGUGGCAGUUGAUACGGGCAGUCGUAGUGCAGGUGAGGUAGGCGGAAUUCGUGGUGUAGCGGUGAAAUGCUUAGAUAUCACGAAGAACACCGAUGGCGAAGGCAGCUUACUGGACUGUGACUGACGUUGAGGCUCGAAAGUGUGGGUAGCAAACAGGAUUAGAUACCCGAGUAGUC
RNAcentral lists this ribosomal RNA (459 nucleotides) under uncultured bacterium. Its description in RNAcentral is "partial 16S ribosomal RNA". It matches the Rfam family "Bacterial small subunit ribosomal RNA", at positions 338 to 795 of the family's 1533-position model. The record is from RNAcentral.